Long non-coding RNA from Limulus polyphemus (Atlantic horseshoe crab), 410 nucleotides. RefSeq lists it as uncharacterized. The record is from RefSeq and is a predicted model, not a curated record. The transcript is spliced from 3 exons. NCBI's taxonomy places the organism in Eukaryota, Metazoa, Arthropoda, Merostomata, Xiphosura, Limulidae.
UCCUCCAUUUUUACAGGUAAUUGCCAAUAUACAUUUGAUAAGCCUAAAGAAGUUGAGGGCUCAAUUAACCUAACAUGGAGCACUUCAUCACGUAGAACUUGUGGAAGAAGAGUGUAGCUGGCAUAUCACCUGCCUGUGAAAUAUUGCAAUGGAACAGGGAGGAUCUGGGUACGUUAAGGAUUAACAUUAUAUCUCUUCACUGGCCAAUGAUGACAUGGAUAAAAGCAGCAGCUGGCCAAUGUUGUGCAGAAAUAAUUACCACGAGGUGACAUUGUAGUCUGGACAAAGAGAAGAAGCUUAUAUGGAAUAAAAGAAGAAGAAAAAAAAGAAGUUGCUACCAGUCUCACCUCCUCUAAGUGUUUAGACAUAAACUCUGCACAUUGAUCCUCUAGUCUGGGAAGCUUAAAGAG